This 663-nucleotide ribosomal RNA is filed under the name Hemiselmis rufescens. Its description in RNAcentral is "partial Bacterial large subunit ribosomal RNA". It matches the Rfam family "Bacterial large subunit ribosomal RNA", at positions 573 to 1239 of the family's 2925-position model. Lineage: Eukaryota; Cryptophyceae; Cryptomonadales; Hemiselmidaceae. The record is from RNAcentral.
GUCGGAGGGGCCUUGAGCCCUGACGGCGUACCUUUUGUAUAAUGGGUCAUCGACUUGGUCUAUCUAGCAAGCUUAAGCCGUUAGGUGUAGGCGCAGCGAAAGCGAGUCUUAAUAGGGCGUCGAGUUCGUGGGAUCAGACCCGAAACCGAGUGAUCUAGGCAUGACCAGGAUGAAGGUACGGUAACACGUACUGGAGGUCCGAACCCACACCUGUUGAAAAAGGUCGGGAUGAGUUGUGCCUAGGGGUGAAAGGCCAAUCAAACUCGGAGAUAGCUGGUUCUCCGCGAAAUCUAUUUAGGUAGAGCGUCAUCCGAAUACCCCGGGGGGUAGAGCACUGGAUGGGUAAUGGGGCCCCACAGGCUUACUGAUCCUAACCAAACUCCGAAUACCCGGGAGUACUAGAUGGCAGACACACGGCGGAUGCUAACGUCCGUCGUGGAGAGGGAAACAACCCUGACCUACAGCUAAGGCCCCCAAUUCAUGGCUAAGUGGGAAAGCAGGUGGGACGACCAAAACAACCAGGAGGUUGGCUUAGAAGCAGCCAUCCUUUAAAGAUAGCGUAACAGCUCACUGGUCUAAAUAAGUUGUCCUGCGGCGAAGAUGUAACGGGGCUCAAGCCAUGAGCCGAAGCUUAGGACUGCGUAUGCAGUGGUAGCGGAGCGU